UCUUGCUCACAGACUUCACAGAAAAGGAUACACAGGCUUCGGAUGCAACUAAAGGAACACGGAAAAUUACUUAAGAUUCCUGAGGUCUCCAGGAUGGCAGUUAACCGAAUGAUUCUUCACCCAUACCUCUGGCUGAAUAUGAGCCCACCAACUUCCAACUCCCCCGCCCCCCCUCACGCCAUAUCACGUCAACGAGAAGUACCCAGAUUUAAACAGAGGCACGUAUACCAAAGAAGGUUGGGGUGUUUGACUGGAAUCACCAGCUCAACCCUAUUUCUCUCUCUCCAAACCCUGGCCUCUCAGAAAAACCACCAAAAAGUCUAGUUCCCCAAUCCUGGGGAUUGUGGCAGCUCCUCCCCUGAAGUUGCUGGCUGCCCAAUUCCUGCCCAAAGCAUUAUAGUUGGGUGCAAACCUAGCCUGUGGCAGACGUCAUCACCCUGCACGUAUUCAAGCUCCCUCCUUUACAUCAGCCAUGUGAUUUUUUUUUCCCUGCCUCAAUCUCUGGGGGCUGGAGGAACUACCCAGGAGUUGCUUUGCUCAGAAUAAACUUGGUCUUUUACCUUUUUAA
Mesocricetus auratus (golden hamster) is the source of this 568-nucleotide long non-coding RNA. RefSeq lists it as uncharacterized. Lineage: Eukaryota; Metazoa; Chordata; Mammalia; Rodentia; Cricetidae. The record is from RefSeq and is a predicted model, not a curated record. The transcript is spliced from 2 exons.